AUGACGCUGGCGGCAGGCCUAACACAUGCGAAGUCNGAGCGGUAGAGAGGAGCUUGCUCCUCUUGAGAGCGGCGGACGGGUGAGUAAUGCCUAGGAAUCUGCCUGGUAGUGGGGGAUAACGUUCGGAAACGGACGCUAAUACCGCAUACGUCCUACGGGAGAAAGCAGGGGACCUUCGGGCCUUGCGCUAUCAGAUGAGCCUAGGUCGGAUUAGCUAGUUGGUGAGGUAAUGGCUCACCAAGGCGACGAUCCGUAACUGGUCUGAGAGGAUGAUCAGUCACACUGGAACUGAGACACGGUCCAGACUCCUACGGGAGGCAGCAGUGGGGAAUAUUGGACAAUGGGCGAAAGCCUGAUCCAGCCAUGCCGCGUGUGUGAAGAAGGUCUUCGGAUUGUAAAGCACUUUAAGUUGGGAGGAAGGGCAGUAAAUUAAUACUUUGCUGUUUUGACGUUACCGACAGAAUAAGCACCGGCUAACUCUGUGCCAGCAGCCGCGGUAAUACAGAGGGUGCAAGCGUUAAUCGGAAUUACUGGGCGUAAAGCGCGCGUAGGUGGUUUGUUAAGUUGGAUGUGAAAUCCCCGGGCUCAACCUGGGAACUGCAUUCAAAACUGACUGACUAGAGUAUGGUAGAGGGUGGUGGAAUUUCCUGUGUAGCGGUGAAAUGCGUAGAUAUAGGAAGGAACACCAGUGGCGAAGGCGACCACCUGGACUAAUACUGACACUGAGGUGCGAAAGCGUGGGGAGCAAACAGGAUUAGAUACCCUGGUNGUCCACGCCGUAAACGAUGUCAACUAGCCGUUGGAAGCCUUGAGCUUUUAGUGGCGCAGCUAACGCAUUAAGUUGACCGCCUGGGGAGUACGGCCGCAAGGUUAAACUCAAAUGAAUUGA
This 889-nucleotide ribosomal RNA is filed under the name uncultured bacterium. RNAcentral's name for it is "bacterial SSU rRNA". It matches the Rfam family "Bacterial small subunit ribosomal RNA", at positions 30 to 913 of the family's 1533-position model. The record is from RNAcentral.